RNAcentral lists this ribosomal RNA (441 nucleotides) under uncultured bacterium. RNAcentral's name for it is "partial 16S ribosomal RNA". It matches the Rfam family "Bacterial small subunit ribosomal RNA", at positions 338 to 795 of the family's 1533-position model. The record is from RNAcentral.
CCUACGGGGUGCAGCAGUGGGGAAUAUUGCACAAUGGGGGAAACCCUGAUGCAGCAACGCCGCGUGAGUGAAGAAGUAUUUCGGUAUGUAAAGCUCUAUCAGCAGGGAAGAAGAAAGACGGUACCUGACUAAGAAGCCCCGGCUAACUACGUGCCAGCAGCCGCGGUAAUACGUAGGGGGCAAGCGUUAGCCGGAUGUACUGGGUGUAAAGGGAGCGUAGACGGUGCAGCAAGGCUGAUGUGAAAGGUCGGGGCCCAACCCAGGGACUGCAUUGGAAACUGGUGAACUGGAGUACAGGAGAGGUAAGCGGAAGUCGGAGUGUAGCGGUGAAAUGCGUAGAUAUUAGGAGGAACACCGGUGGCGAAGGCAGCUUACUGGACGGUAACUGACGUUGAGGCUCGAAAGCGUGGGGAGCGAACAGGAUUAGAUACCCUUGUAGUC